RNAcentral lists this unclassified non-coding RNA (520 nucleotides) under uncultured Archaeospora. RNAcentral describes it as "SSU rRNA". It matches the Rfam family "Eukaryotic small subunit ribosomal RNA", at positions 569 to 1088 of the family's 1831-position model. The record is from RNAcentral. Lineage: Eukaryota; Fungi; Glomeromycota; Glomeromycetes; Archaeosporales; Archaeosporaceae.
AGCAGCCGCGGUAAUUCCAGCUCCAAUAGCGUAUAUUAAAGUUGUUGCAGUUAAAAAGCUCGUAGUUGAAUUUCGGGAUCAAAGGAUCGGUCAUGCCUUGGUAUGUACUGGUUUUAUUGGUUCUCACCUUCUAAAGAACCAUAAUGUCAUUCAUUUGAUGUUAUGGGGAAUUAGGACUGUUACCUUGAAAAAAUUAGAGUGUUUAAAGCAGGCUCACGCUUGAAUACAUUAGCAUGGAAUAAUGAAAUAGGACGUUUGAUUCUAUUUUGUUGGUUUCUAGGAUCGACGUAAUGAUUAAUAGGGAUAGUUGGGGGCAUUAGUAUUCAAUUGUCAGAGGUGAAAUUCUUGGAUUUAUUGAAGACUAACUACUGCGAAAGCAUUUGCCAAGGAUGUUUUUCAUUAAUCAAGAAACGAAAGUUAGGGGAUCGAAGACGAUCAGAUACCGUCGUAGUCUUAACCAUAAACUAUGCCGACUAGGGAUCGGAUGAUGUUAAUUUUUUUAAUGACUCAUUCGGCGCCU